Peromyscus maniculatus bairdii (prairie deer mouse) is the source of this 9424-nucleotide non-coding RNA. Lineage: Eukaryota; Metazoa; Chordata; Mammalia; Rodentia; Cricetidae. The record is from RefSeq and is a predicted model, not a curated record.
CCGGAAGGAAGGAGCCCUAGCCAGAGAGAGUCCAUUAAGACUUCUUUUCUUCACCCAUGACCUUAUACAUACCAACUAACCUUUGGCUGUAUAGACAGGAAAGCCUAAGGCCCAAUGACAAACGAGCAUCCUGAAGUCACCUUUACGCCUCACACUACUCUCCUGAUCGAGCAAACCCCUGGAUUAGAGUUGCCUGGUUUUGAACUUCAGACGAAGUGGAUUCUGCUGCACCUCUGAAGAGGUAGAUAGACUGUUUCCUCUUUCCAGCCCCUGCCUCUCAGGCCUCAGUCCUACCCGGGGAUCAAACGCCUUCCGGAAGAGCCUCCCCAGCUGCUGUGCGUAGCUCUGGGCCCGGCCAGUCUCAGAGCCAUACAGGAUAGUCGCCUUUACGCGCUUCGCCAUCACAGUGCCCAUGAGCGAGGCAGAGAUCUUCACUGCACUGCAGGCAAGGUGACGAGGUUGUCCGGGUGUCUAGAUCCAUGCAGACAGCUACAUCCUGGGACAAGUUGAACAGGGUCGGGACAGAAGCAGCAGGAGUGGACAGGAGGAGAGGGCAACAGAAAGCAAAGCAGCACACCACCUCAGUGAUCUCCACGUUGGCAGGGUCGCCUCGCACCGAGCCAUCCUGCUGCCUGUAGCCUGCGUAGCGCACCAGCUGGCUGUUCCAGAUCCGGAAGUCUCCCCUGCCAGGGCAGCGCUGAGGGAACACUGUGAUGGCUGAACUGACGUGAGGAAUGAAGCUGGUAAGCGGCCAUCACUGCUGUUUGUUGAAGGCUUCCUAUGAGCUAGGGUCUGCCAAGCCAGAAGCACAGGAACGCCGUCUACCACAUCUAGGAGAGUGGAGCAUCAGAUGUCACGACUCCUGUAAGAAGAGGCAGUUUCUGUAUCCCAGGGAGCAAGGGAAUGGACCCUUGGGGCUAUUCCAUGCUGCUGAUGAGCUCCCUAGGGCAGGGCCUGUUGAAUUUCCUGUUCUCACCCAAUGAUCUGGGAUCUGGAACCACACCUGUCUACCGGCUUUCAGCCUCACGGGAGGCUUUUGGAAUCCUUCAUACUUGUUCUGGCAGGAACUACCAGCUUGAGGGCUCUUAGGUCUGUUUCACAGAGACAGUAAUUAUGCUCAGAAGGGCUCCCCCACCAUGGCCCAAUCACUGCCCAAAGAACCCACUUCCUUUUUGGGGGACAGAGUUUAAUUCUGUAGCUACAGGUUAGCUGUAGCACAGGCUGGCCUUGGGCUUUUCUGCCUCAAUUUCCUGACUGCCAUGGUUACAGGUGUGUGCCACCAGUCCCAGCUCAGAUUCUACCGCUAAGAUUCCACAGUAGGAACCGGGAUCUCAAAACAGAAAUUUGGUUGUGGUGGUUGAGGAUAAAAGUGUGUGUGUGUGUGUGUGUGUGUGUGUGUGUGUGUGUGUGUGUGUGAGAGAGAGAGAGAGAGAGAGAGAGAGAGAGAUUAUGCAAGCACAUAUAUGUGCCUGUGACCACGUGACCAGUAUGUCCUGGGGCACUCACACUGACCAAUCUCAUCAUCUGGUUCUCGUGCUUCCGAAAUUUAUUUGGAACAAAAACAUGGCUGUGGAGGUGAAUGUGAAUGUGUUAACAUCCACAGGGACCUGAAAAUGCUCUUCAUUCUUGGUAUCUGGUGUGAGGAUGAGUGUUUAGGGUCAGGCUGAGAUCUCCUGAGUGGUGACGGUCAGGAUUUCUGUCUCAGGCCUUGGGGACCCUGCAUGGAACUCUAUCACUUAUCAGUGCAAGGCUCUGGGAUGAACCCAGACUUCAGACAGACAGCUGCCGGGGAUCUGUCCAACAAACAGCCUCGCACUUCCUCCCCUCCCCUCUCGGCUCCAGUCCCUCAGGCUGGCCCAGUUUCCUGGUGUGGUUGCUGUGGUGCUGGGUCCCUUGGGAACCAGGGUUUAAGCAUCAAGUAUGCCAAGCAUGGAAAUUCCGUAGCAACCAGCCCCGGAGAUCAGCUGGGAGCGUGUGCUUCCUUGGCCUCCUGGGUACUCCAGGGAGGGGCUGGACCCUCUCUCCACACAAGAAGGGAGGAGCAGCCCUUAGAGGCUCUGCAGAUGUGGAGACAGGGGCAUUGUGACACCUGAAGGAAUUUGGAUCACUGUGAAGUUGCUGUCUUUUAGUUUUUAGGGGAGAAGUCUGUUUUGGCACAUGGUUUUGGAGGUUCCAGCCCACUAUUAGUUGCCUUGUCGCUUUAUGAUAGUGACCAGCAGCAAGUCACAGAUAUGAUGGAGCAAAGCUGCUCAUUCAUGUGGCUGGGAAACAAAGCACUGUGGGCUUUUCUUUCUGUCCUUCCACGUAGACUCCCGGUUACCAGCCUAGGACCAACGAGUAAGGCAGCCCUGAUGAAUUUGCUGCUGAAAGGCUGAGGUCUUCUUGGGAUUCCCAUUUUGAGUUCUGGUUUCCUAAACCCUAGCUUAGGCUGCUUCAGGUAAUGCUGGUUCCUGUUCCCAGUGGAGUCUGAAAUAAAUGGGGUUGUGCCUCAUAGAUCCAGAAGGCGGAGUGCCCUGCCUGGGCCCUUUCUUUUUCAGGGUGGGAGGACUUAGUCCCCAUCUGUGAUGGGUUUCUACUGUCACCUUCCCAUACUCACUGGCUGUGUUCACCGGUGAUUUCCAAAAGGAAAGGGAUGGGGUCCUGACCCCAGCUCUCAGCCCCACCAGGUGGUUAUACCUUCCCUCCCCUACUCCCCUACAUGAAGCUGGAGCAUCCAUGGAAGGUAUCGAUUUUGGGGUUUUGAAAGCAGGACUAUGUAACUUCUCUUGUCAGAUGGUAUUUGUAUUUGGCUCCUACAAUAUUGUCUUCAUAUAGCAUCUUCUUAAUUGACUGCAACUCUUUGAGGUCAAGGGACAGACUUCAGACCUCGUGUUUCACUGGGUGACCUGCACAGUAUGGCACACCCAGAAAGCUAUGGGUGGGCCAGUGAGACGGCUCAGUCAGUGAAGGUGCUUGCUGCCAAGCCUGGUGACCUGAGCCUGAUCCCUGGGACCCACAUGCUAGUGCAAAGGACUCCUGCAGAUUGUUUUCUAACCUGUAUAUGUGGGCUGUCACAUGCAAGUCUACACACAUAAGUAAAUAAGUGAAUAUAACAGUAUUUGGGGAAGUGGUAGGUAACUGUGAGUAGGUCAGGGGAUGACAGGGUCAGAGGUUAUCAAAUUGGAUCUUAAAUCUCUUCUGUGGUCCCUAGCAUUUGCUACUUAGUGAUACAUGGAGAAGGCAAGGACCUCGAGCUAGGGGUGGGUUCCCAUUCUCACUCUCAUGAUCCUCACACCCCAAACUGACUCUGAUUUCUGCCUGAUUUCAGCCGCCUCUGACACGCCAUCUCUGUAGUUCAUAUUCUCAUUCCUGACCCCCACCUCCAUCUUUCCUUCAAUUCUGUGUUUUUCUAGCUCUUGAUGUAUGUGGUGUAUAAGCCACAAUCUGUCCUGUUAUAGUGGUUAAGUCACUUGAUUUAGGACCAGGAGACCCAGCUCCAUUUCUAACUUGUAUAAUCUCCAGGAAGUCUUCUCUACUUUGUGUCCCUGUCACCUAGAAUAAGAAAGUGUUUACUUCCUGCUUUGAUGUUUCCUAAAGUGUCAGCCCUCACCCCCAGUGGAAUCCAGAGAAUUUCUCGUAUAAAAUCCAGGGCAGAGUCACAGUGUUCUGUAGUGUUGGUUGAGGAGGGUGAGAGAGGUAGAAAGCUCUGGGUACACAUGAGACCCAGGUUUUCAGUGCCCACAGAAAACCAGGUCUCACUGUGUCAAAUGCUGCUAGGUGGAGCCACUGCAUAGUUCCAGGAUUUUUAUGGUUUGGGGAAGCUGCUCACUUCACAGUGUCCAGAAGAGGGCCCUCAUCCUGGUCACCUGGGCUGCCCCUCUGGUUUCCCGCAGAGCCUGUCAUGAAGGACUUUCAGCACCUUGGACAGAGGCAGAGUUCCCCUCCUGCUGAAGUUUUCAGCUGCAAAGAAGGCUUGGAAUCUUCUCUCCCGCAGUUUCCCUAGCAGGGCAGUUUGAACAUGGUGCAUUCUUUAAUAUUUUUCAGUCUUUUAAGGUCACUCCAGUAUAAACCCCAAGUCAAUGUCAGAGUAGCGCUUGUUUGCCAAACUCUGAGGACAGUAUUUAAAUAAUAACAAAAGCCAGGUGACUUGAUGCAGACCCAUCAUCCCAGCGCUUGGGAGGCUGUGGCAGGAGGCUAGCAAUUUCAAGGCUAGUGUGGACUACACAGUGAGACCCGACACAACAACCAGACCAAACCAAACCGAACCAAGCAACAAAUAUCUCAAAUUACCAAACCAAAGCAGACAACAAAAACCAACCUGUUUUCUAAAACAGUGUAAGGUAGGCAUUAGAUACUUUGUAAAUAUGAUGUUACAGGAAUGCAUUCAAACGCAGUCUACAGGCUCCCUCCCUCCAUCAUGAGAGCUCCCACCCACCCAUGGACCAGUCAGUCACCCUCAUGUGGUCAUUCUAGCUUAGUUCUAUAACUCACUGAGCUCCAGAGCCCUCUUGAAACCCCUUCUGUGGGUGGGAAACCCAGUCCCUAAUUCAAAGGGACAGAUGGCUGUCAGGUUCUCAGCCAGAAGAAUCACACUAGCAGUUCGCUUCCUCAUCUGGAACAAGGAUAAACUGGUGAGAAGACCCACACCUGAGUCCCGGUGACAUCUGGCUUUAUGAAGCUGUCAGCCAUCUUUCUAUGUGCCUGGGAGAAUCCUUACGAACUGGCAGGGCCCAGCUCUUCCAGGGAGCCCUCUCGGCUGCCCACCCGUCCAGAGCACCCCCUGCUUUGAGCUUCUUCUCCUAUUAUACCCAGAAGCACCAGAUUCCUUCAUGACAUCUCUGCCCCUGUUGAAUGAGGGGCCAUCUCCUAGGUUUACUUGUUACAGACCCCGCCGGGAUACUCCCCUAGCAAGCUGGGGGACUGGUGCAUUUCAGAGGCUUCUCACCUCUCCUACCAGGUGUCCUCCUCCACUUCCUUUCAAUCUGAAACAGUUCUAUAAACUGGCUCAUGGUGCUGUCUGUGGAGUAGCCAUUGGCUUCAGGGGUGCUCAGGACAAGAGAGUGGAGGCAAGAGGUGCAGUGGGGGGGGUUACCAAGAGAAGCGAAGGGCUGUUUGGAGUGGGGAUUGCAGGAUGGCUGUGGGUCUAGAGCCAUCCAGGGCUAUGGGUUGUGUGGAACUAAGGAAGCACUCAUGACCAGGGUUGGAAAGGGUCCCAGAGACCAGCUUGGCUAGUCUCAUUUUACAGGUAAGGAAAGUGAUAUUUAGUGAUGCUUCUAAAGGCACACAACAAAUGGGCACCUUGCCAUCACUUCUGACCUGUGCCAAGUCUCUCCCUUGGGCUAUUGAGUAGCUCCAUUUGGCAGCUUAUGUUUUUUCCAAGGUGGUCAUGCCAAUAUGUCUCAUUGCACAUGCCUUUCUUCCUACAUGGCAGCGGUAUGCUUUCCUGGAGAAUUGGGGUCUGUCCUCCUUCCCCCAAUUUGGUGGGCCAUGCUGAUGGCCGGAGUUGUUUGUGUGACUUUCAAAAUGUAGUCAUUACAGUUCAUUCAGCUCUGGCUGCUCCUUUCUUGAGAGAUUUGUCCCUGUAACCUUGCAGCUAUGCUGUGAAGAAUCCAGUUAGCCGUGUGGAAAGGCUUCAUGGGAUAUCUGACCUCAGCCUGACCUGAGGUCCUAAUGGCAGCCAGCUUCCAGCAUCAAACAUGGUCGCCUCUGGUCCCCAGUCUUAGGUGUGUGAAGCAGUCAUUAGGUCCUGGCUGAGCCUGUAGGUCCAUGAGCAAAACCAAUGCUAUCUUUGAUUUGGGGCUGACCAUUAGGCAGCAGCAGGUAGUGGAAUUUCCUUGUAUCUACCUUAGUUUCUCCAAGCUGUUAUACGUGCUUAUUACUUCAACACACCUCUAUUGGAUACAUAGAAUGUGCAUUUCAGCUGCUGCUUUAGUUCCUCUAGUGCAUACAGACUAAAGGGCAAUCCCCGAGCUCUGCAAAUGGUGCCAGCCCCCACAUAGUUUUGUCCCUAGACCUGGUCCCCAUGAUCCAAGUCUCUACAUCUUGGUUCAUGUCCCCUCCACCUGCAACACUUUUUCCUUGCUCACAUCAACCUUCAAGGACUUGCUCCAAAGCCUCUUCCCCUCCCCAGACCCUCCUCGUCUCCUCCAGGAGACAUGAACUGGCACCUCCCUGUAAUCCCACAGCACUCAUUACAGACUACAGUUUUGUCUGCCCACCGCCUCCCUCAGACACCACUAGACUGUGAAUCCCUGGAGGAGGGAGACUGGCUUAGUCCUCCUGUUCCCCAACCCCCCAGCAUCUGGCACAAGGCCUAGAACAUAGGAGGUCCCCAGGAAGCAUUUGUUGACAUGACUGGUAGCAGAAGUAGAAUCGGAAGCUAGGUGUCCUGAAUCCCAGUCUCCAGCACUUUGCUCACUUCCUAUGCCACCAAAUCAGGAACAUGUGCCUGCAAAGGUAAGUGUCGGGUGGGUAGGGAAAGACCUUGGAAUGGGCUGGGGCUUGGCAGAAUUGCUUCAUGUGGAACUGCAGGUGGCGGUGAGUCAGGGAGCCCUGGCUUCGGGUGUAGGGCUGAGGUGUGUCUCUCCUCUGUUGAUUCAGCCCCCCCUUUCCCCUCUCUCUCAGUAGGGCCUGAGCACCUGCUCCUGGGGGGAAGACACACUGCCCCUUGCCUGUCUUCUGCAACUCCAGUUCACAUCUGAAGAACAUUGCUAUUCCGAGAACCCAGCUGUACAGGAAAAGGUCCCGGUGCCCCCCAAAAGUCAAGUUUGCCCUUGAUACCAGGGGAUUGCUGUUGCUGCCCUCCCUCCCCUGGGGCUUCGGAAGAGUCCAUCCCUGUCAGCUGUCUCUCUUAUGUCUGCUCCACUGGAAAUGCUUGUCAGUCCCCUGUGAGUGUCACUGUCUCUCCUGGCCUGGUCCUUGGGGGACUGCCAGCAAGGGCAGCUUCCAUUUCUUUCUCCCUCAGGCUGAGCAGGAGCAGAGAGUGGGGUGGGUAGGAUGUUUUCUGCAGACUUUUCUCCCUAAAUUGUCUCUUUCUGGGAGCUGGGUGGAGCCUACAUGUGUCUCUCUAUAAAUACAGCCUCUCCCUUCCCUCAGCCACAGGCAGGGUGGGGGAGAGCUCUUCCCAUGAAUGACCCUUGGGGCCUGUUGUGGGGGUGGGGCAGAGUGUAGAUGCUCUGGGUAUUAGGUUUGUCUGCGUCUGGAAGUGGGAGGUUGGUGCAUGAUAGACCAGAGGGACUUCUGUAUGAAGUGGUCUCUUGAUGCCUGGCACCAGCAACUCCAGAAAUGAUGCCUUGAGGAAAGCAUGUCUAGCUCAGGGUUUCUCCAUCCUCAACUUUAUCCCUGACUGGGGGUGGCUCUGUGGCCUGCCUUCAGGCACCCCCUGAGCUUCCUAGGAAGUUAGAAAUCUGCCAUUGGCUUUGACAUACACCUUUCUCUGUAUGUUGCUUGGUGGUGGUGGUGGUGGUGUGUGGAGAGAGAGAGAGAGAGAGAGAGAGAGAGAGAGAGAGAGAGAGGAGAGAGAGAGGAGAGAUUUGGCUUCCUUUAGCCUGAGGAAGAAGCUCUCAUCCUCAGGAGAGCUUCUCUAUAUCUGAUCCUCUCUUAUUGGCAUGACAAAGGUCUCGGUGACUCUUAUGUUCUCCUCUGCGAUAAGACCCAAAGGCUUUCUCAGCAAGUGACUCCCUGUCCUAAGGAUGGCUGGCCAGGUCAGAUGAGGAGUUCCAUCCGUUCGGGGCCUGGCUCUCCUGGCCUUGGUCUGGACGGAAGGGGUUCUUCCCUCACGUCUUCCUCUCCAUGCCAUUUUCCAGCCUCUUCUCACUUUCAGUCCCCAGGACCCUCUGUUCACACAGGCCAGGUGUGUGUGUGUGUGUGUGUGUGUGUGUGUGUGUGUGAGAGAGAGAGAGAGAGAGAGAGAGAGAGAGAGAGAGAGAGAGAGAGAGAGAGAGAGAAGAGCCAGACCCAGAUGUGCUGAUGCCUCUGAUGGCCAUUACAUGUUGGGGAAGGCCCUGGGCAUCCUGGGUGUGAGUGAGGAAGCCACUGGAGGUGGGAAGGAAGGGUCUGAAGGAUGACUGUGCAGGCAGGAGCCUCUGGACUUUUUUAGCAUCAGCUGGUGGAGCCGCCUCCUUCUCUCCCACCGGCUGCCUCCCUGAGUCACUGCCCACCCACUAGCAAAUAAAAAAGAGUGUCAUCUUCUGGCCAGUGGCCCUGUGUGGCCUUAGUGUUUGCAGGUUUUCACUCCUGGACGGAAGGUGAGAGUUUUAUUCCUGGCUGGGGUGGUCUCCUGGCGACCUGUCUUUCCCCAGCUUCCCUCCUUCCAGCCGGUUUCCGUCUUCACCCUUUGUUCCUCCCUUCCCCCCUCCAUCCCAUGACAGUUCUCGCUGGUGACAAGACCCAGCCCCUUGCUCCAAGGACAGAGGCAGCUGCAAGCCCUCAGGAGCCCCCACAUGGCCCCAUCCAUCCAGACAGGCCUCUGAUCCGGCUUGCAGGCCGGGGAGGGGAUUCAAGGCCUCCUCAACUCCAGCUGCCGGCUCCUCCCCACAGCAGGCCUGCUCAGCUGUCAACACUCGCCUCUCGGCCUUGUCCUGCCCCAGGCGUUGCUUAGAUGCUCAAACCAGGGGCACCCCGGCCGCCCGAAGACCCCUCCUCAGGCCCCAGCAGGCGGUGGGCAGGCAGUGGGCAGGCGGCGGGCAGACACCCUGCCUACCCUUGAGCAUCCUCAGACCUCCUUGCCUAAAUAAGGGAGCUGCAGCUGGAGAGAGCCAGCUGGCAGGGGGAGGGGCCUGCGGAUAGGCCAGGGUUUUCCGAGGGGCUGGGCCGCCCCGGCCGCCUCAGGGCCCCAAGCCCUCCCAUUGGGCCUACGAUUAGGUUGGUUCCGCACUACAGAGGGCGGGCAGGCCUCUAGCACACGGGGAUCCCUUGGCUGGGACCUCACGCUCAGGAACCUUUCUUUGAUCUCUCAGCUAGGAGGCCACAACUCUUGUCAGUGUCCCUCGGUGUGCGUGCCACCCAUGAAAGAGAUUCGACUAACCCCUGAGAGGGCCUUGUCUGUUGUCUGUCUGCUGGAGAUUGGGGCGAUCGGGGAGGCUGUGCCUCUCCUCCGGCUCACCCACCCUUGUCUCAAAAUUCUACAGCUCCCACGCCCCCUGUUCUCCCCAUUCCCCGGGUCUCCCCUGGUCCUGGGGCUUCUCUUCUCAGAGCCUAGGCCUCACUCAGCCAAGUCACCCACAGCAGAUUCUGAGAGUAAGCUGUGUGUACUCCGCCUGCCCUAGGCGCAGGAGGGAAGCCGGGGAUAAAGGGUUGGCCCUGUCCCAUCAAAUCAGGUUUCUCGGCCCCGAGGCUGGGAGGGGGGCCAUAUCCCGGCGCCCCUCUCCCUGGCCACCUCCAAAACCGGCCGUCGCACCUGUCCUCACGGCUCCCCUACCUAAGGGUCCCUUCCCCCUCUCGGUGG